RNAcentral lists this long non-coding RNA (992 nucleotides) under Homo sapiens (human). RNAcentral describes it as "HSALNT0327196". The record is from RNAcentral. Lineage: Eukaryota; Metazoa; Chordata; Mammalia; Primates; Hominidae.
CCAAACACCACAUGUUGUCUCUUAGAAGUGGGAGCUGAACGUACCUAAUUCUUGCAAUUCAGUGUAUUUCCUGGCGAGAGGCAGAGAUGAACAACCCUGGACAGUUACCACAUAUGGCUCUUAUGAGGUAAUGAGGAUGGUUGUGAUGAGAAGGGUAAAAAAUAAAAAAGUUAUUACAAAACAUUUUUCAAGGAAUUUUCCAAAAAAUGAUUUUAAUAUUCUCUUUGCUUAUGGAAUGAUAUUUAAAACCAUGAUUUCUGUGUCCUUUAAAAUGACUUCUGAUUUGUGAAUUGUUCUCUGUGCUCCAAACUUCUUUUAUUUGUCCCUGUGUUUAUGCUCAUAACCAUUCAUUUCCCUCUUUUCCCACUGACUUAGCCUCUGGGGUUGUAAAGAAGUUACUCGUUUAUUUUUGUGUAUGUGUGGGGUUUUGUCUUUUGUUUUCUGAGAAUAAAGUAUAUGAGAUCAUGGAAAAAAUCAGAAAACGAGGAAAAUCAUAAAUUCAUUACCAAAAUAAUUUCUGAUUUGGUAUUAUAGCUCUGCAAAUUACUUCACUAAUUGUGUUCAUAGGUACUAUGGUACACUGUACACUGUUUUGUAACUUGCUUUUUAGAUGGAUUAUAUCAUAUUUUUCUGUAUCAAUAAAUAUGAAUUCAUUACAUCAGUUUAAACUGAUCAAAAACAUUUUAAUCAAAGUAAUACAAUUAAAUUGCUAAAUAUCAUAGGGAAUCGAAGAGUUUAUAAUCCCAAACCAUACUCUUUCUUUUCCUAGCCAGCUGGGGACAUUUUUAAUUGUUUCUAUUUUCAUUCUUUCUGUUUCAGUUCUUAUAAAAAUACAUAUAUAAAAUUGGCUAAAUGAUUAAAUGUUAUAGUAGUUCUUUAAUUAUAAAUUUGAAUAAUAUUUGUUGACUUCCAAACUGCAUACCCCUUGCCUUGUCCAAGUAAAACUGUACCAUCGUUUAUUCUCUGUGUUGUCAAUAAAACACUAAGUGAUA